GACAGAGGGUGCAAACGUUGUUCGGAUUUACUGGGCGUAAAGAGCGUGUAGGCGGCCCGGUAAGUCCGCUGUGAAAGUCGGGGGCUCAACCCUCGGAUGCCGGUGGAUACUGUCGGGCUAGAGUACGGAAGAGGCGAGUGGAAUUCCUGGUGUAGCGGUGAAAUGCGCAGAUAUCAGGAGGAACACCUAUUGCGAAGGCAGCUCGCUGGGACGUUACUGACGCUGAGACGCGAAAGCGUGGGGAGCAAACAGG
RNAcentral lists this ribosomal RNA (253 nucleotides) under uncultured bacterium. Its description in RNAcentral is "partial 16S ribosomal RNA". It matches the Rfam family "Bacterial small subunit ribosomal RNA", at positions 524 to 776 of the family's 1533-position model. The record is from RNAcentral.